GUGAACUCUUGUCUCUCAGUAGAAACCUGCCGCCUCCACACACGUCAGUAGAAGCAAGGAAAGAGGAAGGAGCACGUGUGCGAGACUCGCACUAGUCGCGUCUCUUUGCAACAGCCAGCAGCAUCCCUUUCAGUCUUGCUCGACUUCACGGGCCCUUCUCACAUUCGCAGCGGUGGUACCACCAUUCCAUUCGUCUCCACUCCCUUACCGCUGCCCCCCCCCCCAUUCUAUCUACCGUUAACGUCAGCACGAUAUCAUCAUCGAGACCGGCGGCUAUUCCUCCUCGAUACUUCGUUUGUUUGCCCCGUUUUGCUUGCCUUCCUUUCCGUCGCAUCUGCGUGCGUCUGCUUGUGCGUGUCGUGUCUUCACGAUGCAUCUGCUCUACAAAAAGAACGCCAAUAACGCUCCAGCGCAGAAGAUUCUCGCGGCGGCGGCGUACGCGGGUGUGGAGAUUACCGCGGAGCCGUGUGACGAGAACAAGGCCAGCACCGACGCUGACUUCCUCAACUUCUGCGACCCGUGUGGCGAGUACCCGGUGCUGGAGCCCGGUGACGGUUCUGGUGUCUGCGUGUUCGGUGCCAACGCAAUCCUGCGCUACGUGGCGCGCAUGAAGAAUGAAGGCUCGGUGCACCCCUACGGUCGCACGCCGUUCGAGGCGAGUCAGGUGGACAUGUGGAUCGACUUUUCUAGCACGGAGAUCGACGCGGCGAACAUGCCGUACAUCCGUAUGGCGUACGAGAAGGCUACCAGCGACGCACCGGCGGACGCCCUCGAUAAGGUGAAGGCUGUGCUUUCUGCACUGGAGGAGGUGCUGAGCGUGCGCACCUUUCUCGUCGGUGAGCGCCUGUCCAUCGCCGAUGUGGCCGUCGCCUUCUCGAUCCAUUUGGUGUACCGUUGCAACCGCAAGCACGGCCAGACCCUCUCCAAGGAGUACCGCGCCGUGUACCGCCACUACAACACGGUGAUGCGCCACCCCAAGAUUCACGCCAUGAUGCGCAAGGAGGGCGCAGCACUCGGGCCUCUGCGCAGCUAGAGGCGGCGUGUCGCCUUCUUUUUCUCCGCCUACUGCCACAGUGUGCAAGACUCGGAAACGGUGCCGAGAAGCGAAAACAGAUUCGGGCUGAGAAUGCCUCGUGGCCACCUUUUCUUUCUCUCUUCAUCCCGCUACCGUGCACCGCUCUCUCCGUUUACAUCUGUGCUUGCGUGUUGGCAAUGAUUUUUCUCUCACCGCCUACAUUCGUAGAAGUCCUCUUCCUUCCCCCUUCCCUCUACCUGCUCCGCGUCUACCUCUGAUGGUUGCGUUUUGCCUGAGAGGAGAGGAAAAUGGGUGGGGGGGGGGGGGGGCAUCGAGGCCUGUGCAUUGUUUUGACUCUUCUGUGUGGGUGUGCGCUCCGCUUAUGUUUCUUUUUGUUUUUGUUCUGUCUUCGUCUGCAUUGUUCUUCUCUGUUCGUUUUCUUUCGUACAUUUUCAGCUCUUUCUUUCCCUGUAUGCGAGCUUCACGAAGUUGCUCGCGGUGGCAGUGGAUGAUCACUGUCGGUGAAGAUUGCUUGCCGUCGAUGGCACCUGAAUGGAAGACCUGCAUGAUCUUCCCUUUAUGAGCGAGUGUCUGUGUGGACGUCGGUCUGCCUGCAUCUCUCUCUCUCUGUGAGCAUGUGAUCUUCAUCGCACAAUCUCUUUGUGCUACAGUAGUGUUCGCCCGCGUGGCUUUUUACUCUUUGACUUCUCUGUCGCGCUGUGUUCGGCAUACAUAUACAUAUAUACAUAUAUAUAUACAUAUGUAUAUGUAUAUAUGUAUGUAUGCACGCGUGCGUGCGCGUGUGCCGGAGACGUAAAGCAGCAACUACGGCUGUUGUCGCGUUGCGUGCGUGCAUGUGUGUGUGUGUGUGUCAAAACUGGCGUAUUCCGGAGGUGUUCAAAACGGGCAACUCGAAUACAGGUGGCAUACAACAACAGAGGGUACAUG
Molecule: unclassified non-coding RNA, 1963 nt
Filed under: Leishmania donovani
Lineage: Eukaryota; Euglenozoa; Kinetoplastea; Trypanosomatida; Trypanosomatidae
Description: gene:LdHU3.33.2470(CDS-product:elongation_factor_ 1-gamma_putative)
Source: RNAcentral